RNAcentral lists this ribosomal RNA (798 nucleotides) under Triplax aenea. RNAcentral's name for it is "partial 16S ribosomal RNA". The stretch from base 1 to 579 matches the Rfam family "Bacterial large subunit ribosomal RNA", at positions 1833 to 2925 of the family's 2925-position model. The record is from RNAcentral. Lineage: Eukaryota; Metazoa; Arthropoda; Insecta; Coleoptera; Erotylidae.
GUCUUUUUGAGUAUAAUUAAAGUCUAGCCUGCCCACUGAGGAGUUAAAUGGCCGCGGUAUCUUGACCGUGCUAAGGUAGCAUAAUCAUUAGUUCUUUAAUUGAGAGCUGGAAUGAAAGGUUGGAUGAGAAAAUAACUGUCUCUAUUUAAUUUAAUUAGAAUUUUAUUUUUAAGUUAAAAAGCUUAAAUUUAAUUUAAAGACGAGAAGACCCUAUAGAGUUUUAAAUAUAUUAAUAAUAUAUUUAUUUUAGAUUUAAUAUUAUAUGUUAUUAUAUUUUUUUAGUUGGGGUGAUUUAAAAAUUAAGUAAACUUUUUUUAUUUUAAAUCAUUAAUUUAUGAGUGCUUGAUCCAAUUAUUGUUGAUUAUAAGAUAAAGUUACCUUAGGGAUAACAGCGUAAUUUUUUUUGAGAGUUCUUAUCGAAAAGAAAGAUUGCGACCUCGAUGUUGGAUUAAAAUUUAUUUUUGGUGCAGAAGCUAAAAUAUUAAGUCUGUUCGACUUUUGAAAUUUUACAUGAUCUGAGUUUAAACCGGCGUAAGCCAGGUUGGUUUCUAUCUUAAAUAUAUUAUAAUAUUUUAGUACGAAAGGAUCAGAUAUUAAAUAAAUUAUUUUUAUUUUAGAAUAAAAUUGUUAUUUUGGCAGAAUAGUGCUGUAGAUUUAGAAUCUUCACAUGUAAUUAAUAAAUUACAAAUAAUAAUUGAUAUUUAAAGAUAGGGUUAUAAUAUUGAUUAGAAGGUUGAUUUUAGUAAUUUGUGUUUUAAUCAGAGUAGCUUUUUUAACAUUAUUAGAACGAAAAGUUUU